Molecule: unclassified non-coding RNA, 277 nt
Filed under: Hevea brasiliensis (rubber tree)
Lineage: Eukaryota; Viridiplantae; Streptophyta; Magnoliopsida; Malpighiales; Euphorbiaceae
Source: RNAcentral
CAUAGCUUGCAGUCAACCCCACCACUGACCACGCUGUCCCCUUUCCACCAGUCAGCACACAGCACCUUGUCCUCAUGUGAUUCAAUAACAGACAGAGGCCACGCAGUUCUUAGAUCCCACAACAUAACCUUCCCAUCAUAGGAUGCAGAAAGUAAAUGAAACCACGAUUUAUCAUGCCACUUGCAACCCGAAAUCCAAGAAGUGUGAGAAGAGAACUGAUAAAUAGGGGCAGAAGUUCCUGGUUUUCGUGGAUCCCAUAUCCUAAGGAUGGGAUCAG